Molecule: long non-coding RNA, 232 nt
Organism: Neomonachus schauinslandi (Hawaiian monk seal)
Lineage: Eukaryota; Metazoa; Chordata; Mammalia; Carnivora; Phocidae
Exons: 3
Source: RefSeq, a predicted model, not a curated record
CCAUGAUUGGGAGCUUUAAACUGUGGCCCGCAAAGAUAAACCGAGAAUUUGGAGGAAAAGAGGUAUCUAUACUGAUUGCCCAUUAUGAACCAGUACUGGAAGCUGCCAAUGUGGAGAUCGAGGAAGUAGACACUGAAUGGAGCAUGUUGAAAUUAGAGAUAUAUGCUAGAUUUCAGAACAUCCGCAAAUUGACCUGGGAUUUUGUGAACUCUGUUUACUUACACAAGUAUCC